AGAGUUUGAUCCUGGCUCAGAGUAACGCUGGCGGCGUGUUAGGCAUGCAUGUCGAGCGAUUUUGCUAUUAUGAGAAUGCCAACCUUCGGGGAGGCAAACGAGUAAUAACAAGAUAGCGGCAAACGGGUGAGUAACGCGUGGGUAACCUACCUUGAGUAGGAGCAUAGCUUCGCGAAAGCGGAGGUAAUACUCCAUAACAUCUCGAAUCUGAUGGUUCGAGAUCAAAGAUGGCCUAUGCCUUCGGGCAUGCUGUCACCUGAAGAAGGGCCCGCGUCCUAUCAGGUUGUUGGUAGGGUAAUGGCCUACCAAGCCUAAGACGGGUAGCUGGCGUAAGAGCGUGACCAGCCACAUCGGGACUGAGACACUGCCCGGACUCCUACGGGAGGCUGCAGUCGAGAAUCUUUCCCAAUGGACGAAGGUCUGAGGAUGCGACGCCGCGUGGAGGAUGAAGGCCUUCGGGUUGUAAACUCAUUUUAUUGAGGAGGAACGUUAUUAGGUUAAUAGCCUUUUAACUUGACUGUACUCGGUGAAAAGCCACCGGCUAACUCCGUGCCAGCAGCCGCGGUAAUACGGAGGUGGCAAGCGUUACUCGGUUUGACUGGGUGUAAAGGGUCCGCAGGCGGCCUUACAAGUGAAAGGUGAAAUCUUUCGGCUCAACCGAAAAACUGCCUUUCAAACUGUAAGGCUUGAGGAUGGAAGAGGAGAGUGGAACUGCCGGUGUAAAAGGUGAAAUUUGUGGAGAUCGGCAGGAACGCCAGUGGAGAAGUCGGCUCUCUGGUCCAUAUCUGACGCUCAGGGACGAAAGCUAGGGGAGCCAACAGGAUUAGAUACCCUGGUAGUCCUAGCUGUAAACGAUGGGCACUAGGUGUUCGUUCGUAAGAAUGGGUGCCGCAGUUAACACAUUAAGUGCCCCACCUGA
RNAcentral lists this ribosomal RNA (919 nucleotides) under uncultured Pseudomonadota bacterium. Its description in RNAcentral is "bacterial SSU rRNA". It matches the Rfam family "Bacterial small subunit ribosomal RNA", at positions 9 to 873 of the family's 1533-position model. Lineage: Bacteria; Pseudomonadati; Pseudomonadota. The record is from RNAcentral.